GAUGAACGCUAGCGGCAGGCUUAACACAUGCAAGUCGAGGGGUAACGAUGGUGCUUGCACCAGUCGACGACCGGCGAACGGGUGCGUAACGCGUAUAGAAUCUGCCUUGUACAGGAGGAUAGCCUUUAGAAAUGAAGAUUAAUACUCCAUAAUGUUAUUUGGUGGCAUCAUUAAAUAAUUAAAGAUUUAUCGGUACAAGAUGACUAUGCGUCCUAUUAGUUAGUUGGUAAGGUAACGGCUUACCAAGGCAGCGAUAGGUAGGGGGUCUGAGAGGAUUAUCCCCCACACUGGUACUGAGACACGGACCAGACUCCUACGGGAGGCAGCAGUGAGGAAUAUUGGACAAUGGGCGCAAGCCUGAUCCAGCCAUGCCGCGUGCAGGAAGACUGCCCUAUGGGUUGUAAACUGCUUUUAUACAGGAAGAAACUGUAGUACGUGUACUACACUGACGGUACUGUAAGAAUAAGCACCGGCUAACUCCGUGCCAGCAGCCGCGGUAAUACGGAGGGUGCAAGCGUUAUCCGGAAUCAUUGGGUUUAAAGGGUCCGCAGGCGGUCGAUUAAGUCAGAGGUGAAAUCCCAUAGCUUAACUAUGGAACUGCCUUUGAUACUGGUUGACUUGAGUCAUAUGGAAGUAGAUAGAAUAAGUAGUGUAGCGGUGAAAUGCAUAGAUAUUACUUAGAAUACCGAUUGCGAAGGCAGUCUACUACGUAUGUACUGACGCUCAUGGACGAAAGCGUGGGGAGCGAACAGG
RNAcentral lists this ribosomal RNA (753 nucleotides) under uncultured bacterium. RNAcentral describes it as "bacterial SSU rRNA". It matches the Rfam family "Bacterial small subunit ribosomal RNA", at positions 28 to 776 of the family's 1533-position model. The record is from RNAcentral.